CGGGGGGGCGGUACCAAGUUUUUAACUUCCCUAACCCCUUCUGUGAACCUACCUAUCGGUUGCUUCGGCGGACUCGCCCCAGCCCGGACGCGGACUGGACCAGCGGCCCGCCGGGGACCUCAAACUCUUGUAUUCCAGCAUCUUCUGAAUACGCCGCAAGGCAAAACAAAUGAAUCAAAACUUUCAACAACGGAUCUCUUGGCUCUGGCAUCGAUGAAGAACGCAGCGAAACGCGAUAAGUAAUGUGAAUUGCAGAAUCCAGUGAAUCAUCGAAUCUUUGAACGCACAUUGCGCCCGCCAGCAUUCUGGCGGGCAUGCCUGUUCGAGCGUCAUUUCAACCCUCGACCUCCCCUUGGGGGGGUCGGCGUUGGGGACCGGCAGCACACCGCCGGCCCUGAAAUGGAGUGGCGGCCCGUCCGCGGCGACCUCUGCGCAGUAAUACAGCUCGCACCGGAACCCCGACGCGGCCACGCCGUAAAACACCCAACUUCUGAACGUUGACCUCGAAUCAGGUAGGACUACCCGCUGAACUUAAGCAUAUCAAUAAGCGGAGGAA
Molecule: ribosomal RNA, 556 nt
Filed under: Beauveria bassiana
Lineage: Eukaryota; Fungi; Ascomycota; Sordariomycetes; Hypocreales; Cordycipitaceae
Description: eukaryotic LSU rRNA
Rfam family: 5.8S ribosomal RNA (bases 179-332)
Source: RNAcentral